AAAUUAAAUAAACAAAGUGAAAAUGAAUAUUUCUUAAACUUUUCAAACAUUCCUUGUAAAUGCAGAUGAAACUGAAAGGCAAAUUUCAGAAAUCUAAUUUGCAGGACAUUAAUAUAUUUCCUAUAUAAAACAUAUUUCAAAAUCACACACAAAACACAGCACAGAGAAAACAAGAGAAAACAGUGAGUGUGAUUGGCUCUUUCUUCAGUUCCUCAAGUGUGAAAUAUAGACAUGAUGUUCUCAGAGAGGAGGGACUCAGAGUUCACAGAUCUGACAUGAUCUAAUCGUGUCUGAAAGAGACUGUGGAUGAAACGAUUCAGUCUGACUCUUCUCAGAGUGAACACUUGAACAAUGAAUCUUCAUUCACUUAUUCUGCUCUGUGUCUCAGCAGCUGCUGUCUUUGGAAAUACCAUCAAACCAGACACAACAGAUGUUGGUGCUGAUGAGGGACAAAAUGUUAAGUUGUCCUGUAGUUAUUCCUCCACUGGAGUUACAGAGUAUCUCUUCUGGUACCGUCAGUAUGGAAGAUCAAAACCUGAAUUUCUUGUUUCCACCUUCAGUACUGCAACAGAUCCUGAAGAAUCUAAAGUAGAUUUAAGAUUCUCUGUUAAAGUUGAAAAAAAGGAACAAAUCCACAUGGAUCUGAUCAUCUCCUCUGCUGCAGUAUCAGACUCUGCUCUGUAUUACUGUGCUCUGAGGCCCACAGUCACAGGAAACACUGUAACUCUGUACAAAAACCCUUCUGUAUUUAAUCCAAUGAGAACAAGCAAUAGACACAGAGACAAAGACUACAAGAGAAUCUGUAAACUGCAGAUGUAAAUAAUAAGUAGAGCAAUAACUGAAUGAAAAUAAAUAAA
Molecule: non-coding RNA, 857 nt
Organism: Megalobrama amblycephala (Wuchang bream)
Lineage: Eukaryota; Metazoa; Chordata; Actinopteri; Cypriniformes; Xenocyprididae
Source: the annotation of a RefSeq genome assembly